CCUACGGGAGGCAGCAGUGGGGAAUAUUGGACAAUGGGCGGAAGCCUGAUCCAGCCAUGCCGCGUGUGUGAAGAAGGCCUUUUGGUUGUAAAGCACUUUAAGCGAGGAGGAGGCUACUUAGAUUAAUACUCUAGGAUAGUGGACGUUACUCGCAGAAUAAGCACCGGCUAACUCUGUGCCAGCAGCCGCGGUAAUACAGAGGGUGCGAGCGUUAAUCGGAUUUACUGGGCGUAAAGCGUGCGUAGGCGGCUGAUUAAGUCGGAUGUGAAAUCCCUGAGCUUAACUUAGGAAUUGCAUUCGAUACUGGUCAGCUAGAGUAUGGGAGAGGAUGGUAGAAUUCCAGGUGUAGCGGUGAAAUGCGUAGAGAUCUGGAGGAAUACCGAUGGCGAAGGCAGCCAUCUGGCCUAAUACUGACGCUGAGGUACAAAAGCAUGGGGAGCAAACAGGAUUAGAUACCCUGGUAGUCCAUGCCGUAAACGAUGUCUACUAGCCGUUGGGGCCUUUGAGGCUUUAGUGGCGCAGCUAACGCGAUAAGUAGACCGCCUGGGGAGUACGGUCGCAAGACUAAAACUCAAAUGAAUUGACGG
This 587-nucleotide ribosomal RNA is filed under the name uncultured prokaryote. Its description in RNAcentral is "bacterial SSU rRNA". It matches the Rfam family "Bacterial small subunit ribosomal RNA", at positions 338 to 916 of the family's 1533-position model. The record is from RNAcentral.